Molecule: long non-coding RNA, 218 nt
Filed under: Capsicum annuum
Lineage: Eukaryota; Viridiplantae; Streptophyta; Magnoliopsida; Solanales; Solanaceae
Description: long non-coding RNA (CANN_LNC010081)
Source: RNAcentral
CGGCAAAUAUAUUAUAAUAUAGUCUUUCUAUUCUUAUUUUUAAUUCUUUACGUUUUUCAGAAAUAAUUUGUUUUAGUUAUUUGUAUUUUUGUACUUUAUUCAUUUAAACCAUAUUUAUAAUAUUUUGGUGGAUAUCUAAAUCUGAUUUUAUCAUAAUUAGGUGGUAUGUGUCUCAUUCUUCUAGAUUUUAAAUGGAUUAUUAAUUUUGUUUUAAUACU